AAUGGAGGGGAGGUCGACGCCUUGGAGAUGGAAACGAUUUAAACAUACUUGUAGCAAAUCCUUCAUGGUGGAGCAGGAAUAGGAAGCGUUUGACUUACUUUGGCCAGUGCAUAUGAGCAAACAUGAUGUUCAGCAAGUCUCAGCAGAUGCUUGAAGAGUCAUUGUCUGUUUCUACCAACUCUCUUGCUCUUUUCUGUUGCCAAAAGAGAAAGGACAAAAGAAACUGCCUAUUCAGCUAUACCCUGAGCUUCUCUGGACAAAGGCUGAGUCUUACCUACUUUUCUAUCCCCAUUGUUUGGCUGAAGGCUUGUUCCACAGUGUGAGGAAAGUUCAAGAGGGGAAAAAAUAAAAGACUAGUGACAUAAUUUAAGAAAAGGAUGAUUGCAAUGCAUCCUGAAGCUGCCUAUCUCCAAAUAUUCUCUCCUAUAGGCAGGGCCAACAG
Molecule: long non-coding RNA, 442 nt
Organism: Homo sapiens (human)
Lineage: Eukaryota; Metazoa; Chordata; Mammalia; Primates; Hominidae
Source: Ensembl